AUUGAACGCUGGCGGCAUGCCUAACACAUGCAAGUCGAGCGCGUAGCAAUACGAGCGGCAGACGGGUGAGUAACGCGUGGGAAUCUACCGUACCCUACGGAAUAGCUCUGGGAAACUGGAGGUAAUACCGUAUACGCCCUAACGGGGAAAGAUUUAUCGGGGUAUGAUGAGCCCGCGUUGGAUUAGCUAGUUGGUGGGGUAAAGGCCUACCAAGGCGACGAUCCAUAGCUGGUCUGAGAGGAUGAUCAGCCACAUUGGGACUGAGACACGGCCCAAACUCCUACGGGAGGCAGCAGUGGGGAAUAUUGGACAAUGGGCGCAAGCCUGAUCCAGCCAUGCCGCGUGAGUGAUGAAGGUCUUAGGAUUGUAAAGCUCUUUCACCGAUGAAGAUAAUGACGGUAGUCGGAGAAGAAGCCCCGGCUAACUUCGUGCCAGCAGCCGCCGCCG
Molecule: ribosomal RNA, 447 nt
Filed under: uncultured bacterium
Lineage: Bacteria
Description: partial 16S ribosomal RNA
Rfam family: Bacterial small subunit ribosomal RNA
Source: RNAcentral